Molecule: ribosomal RNA, 457 nt
Filed under: uncultured bacterium
Lineage: Bacteria
Description: bacterial SSU rRNA
Rfam family: Bacterial small subunit ribosomal RNA
Source: RNAcentral
GAUUAUGGCUCAGAACGAACGCUGGCGGCAGGCUUAACACAUGCAAGUCGAGCGCCCCGCAAGGGGAGCGGCGGACGGGUGAGUAACGCGUGGGAACCUUUCUUUCGGUACGGAAUAACCUGGGGAAACUCGGGCUAAUACCGCAUACGCCCGCAAGGGGAAAGAUUUAUCGCCGAUAGGUGGGCCCGCGUUGGAUUAGCUAGUUGGUGGGGUAACGGCCUACCAAGGCGACGAUCCCAUAGCUGGUCUGAGAGGACGACCAGCCACACUGGGACUGAGACACGGCCCAGACUCCUACGGGAGGCAGCAGUGGGGAAUCUUGGACAAUGGGGGAAACCCUGAUCCAGCCCAUGCCGCGUGAGUGAUGAAGGCCUUAGGGUUGUAAAGCUCUUUCGCACGCGACGAUGAUGACGGUAGCGUGAGAAGAAGCCCCGGCUAACUUCGUGCCAGCCGCCGC